Molecule: ribosomal RNA, 268 nt
Filed under: uncultured prokaryote
Description: partial 16S ribosomal RNA
Rfam family: Bacterial small subunit ribosomal RNA
Source: RNAcentral
UACGUAGGGGCAAGCGUUAUCCGGAUUUACUGGGUGUAAAGGGAGCGCAGACGGAACUGCAAGUCUGAUGUGAAAGCCCGGGGCUCAACCGCGGGACUGCAUUGGAAACUGUAGAUCUGGAGUGCCGGAGGGGCAAGCGGAAUUCCUGGUGUAGCGGUGAAAUGCGUAGAUAUCAGGAGGAACACCGGCGGCGAAGGCGGCUUGCUGGACGGCAACUGACGUUGAGGCUCGAAAGCGUGGGGAGCAAACAGGAUUAGAUACCCUGGUA